GACUCUCGGCAACGGAUAUCUCGGCUCUUGUCAUCGAUGAAGAACGUAGCGAAAUGCGAUACUAGGUGUGAAUUGCAGAAUCCCGUGAACCAUCGAGUCUUUGAAUCGCAAGUUGCGCCCGAAAGCCAUUAGGCCGAGGGCACGCCUGCCUGGGUGUCACA
RNAcentral lists this ribosomal RNA (161 nucleotides) under Styphnolobium japonicum (Japanese pagoda tree). Its description in RNAcentral is "5.8S ribosomal RNA". It matches the Rfam family "5.8S ribosomal RNA". Rfam says of the family: 5.8S ribosomal RNA (5.8S rRNA) is a component of the large subunit of the eukaryotic ribosome. It is transcribed by RNA polymerase I as part of the 45S precursor that also contains 18S and 28S rRNA. Lineage: Eukaryota; Viridiplantae; Streptophyta; Magnoliopsida; Fabales; Fabaceae. The record is from RNAcentral.